RNAcentral lists this transfer RNA (73 nucleotides) under Lophiogobius ocellicauda. RNAcentral's name for it is "tRNA-Leu". It matches the Rfam family "tRNA". From Rfam's summary of the family: Transfer RNA (tRNA) molecules are approximately 80 nucleotides in length. Their secondary structure includes four short double-helical elements and three loops (D, anti-codon, and T loops). Further hydrogen bonds mediate the characteristic L-shaped molecular structure. tRNAs have two regions of fundamental functional importance: the anti-codon, which is responsible for specific mRNA codon recognition, and the 3' end, to which the tRNAs corresponding amino acid is attached (by aminoacyl-tRNA synthetases). tRNAs cope with the degeneracy of the genetic code in two manners: having more than one tRNA (with a specific anti-codon) for a particular amino acid; and 'wobble' base-pairing, i.e. permitting non-standard base-pairing at the 3rd anti-codon position. The record is from RNAcentral. Lineage: Eukaryota; Metazoa; Chordata; Actinopteri; Gobiiformes; Gobiidae.
GUUAUGGUGGCAGAGCCCGGUAAUGCAAAAGCCCUAAGACCUUUAUACGGAGGUUCAAAUCCUCCCCCUAACU